GUGGGGAAUAUUGGACAAUGGGCGAAAGCCUGAUCCAGCAAUGCCACGUGAGUGAUGAAGGCCUUAGGGUUGUAAAGCUCUUUUACCCGGGAUGAUAAUGACAGUACCGGGAGAAUAAGCUCCGGCUAACUCCGUGCCAGCAGCCGCGGUAAUACGGAGGGAGCUAGCGUUGUUCGGAAUUACUGGGCGUAAAGCGCACGUAGGCGGCUUUGUAAGUUAGAGGUGAAAGCCUGGAGCUUAACUCCAGAACUGCCUUUAAGACUGCAUCGCUUGAAUCCAGGAGAGGUGAGUGGAAUUCCGAGUGUAGAGGUGAAAUUCGUAGAUAUUCGGAAGAACACCAGUGGCGAAGGCGGCUCACUGGACUGGUAUUGACGCUGAGGUGCGAAAGCGUGGGGAGCAAACAGGAUUAGAAACCCGUGUAGUCC
Molecule: ribosomal RNA, 425 nt
Filed under: uncultured bacterium
Lineage: Bacteria
Description: bacterial SSU rRNA
Rfam family: Bacterial small subunit ribosomal RNA
Source: RNAcentral